GAGCCGUUAGCUCAAUCAGGCAGAGCAACUGACUCUUAAUCAGUAGGUUGGAGGUUCGAUUCCUCCACGGCUCACCA
This 77-nucleotide transfer RNA is filed under the name Pseudomonadota bacterium. RNAcentral describes it as "Proteobacteria bacterium (marine sediment metagenome) tRNA-Lys". It matches the Rfam family "tRNA". From Rfam's summary of the family: Transfer RNA (tRNA) molecules are approximately 80 nucleotides in length. Their secondary structure includes four short double-helical elements and three loops (D, anti-codon, and T loops). Further hydrogen bonds mediate the characteristic L-shaped molecular structure. tRNAs have two regions of fundamental functional importance: the anti-codon, which is responsible for specific mRNA codon recognition, and the 3' end, to which the tRNAs corresponding amino acid is attached (by aminoacyl-tRNA synthetases). tRNAs cope with the degeneracy of the genetic code in two manners: having more than one tRNA (with a specific anti-codon) for a particular amino acid; and 'wobble' base-pairing, i.e. permitting non-standard base-pairing at the 3rd anti-codon position. RNAcentral also lists the same sequence under 1 other name. Lineage: Bacteria; Pseudomonadati; Pseudomonadota. The record is from RNAcentral.